Molecule: long non-coding RNA, 130 nt
Organism: Amblyraja radiata (thorny skate)
Lineage: Eukaryota; Metazoa; Chordata; Chondrichthyes; Rajiformes; Rajidae
Exons: 2
Source: RefSeq, a predicted model, not a curated record
CUAAGAUCAAGUGUAGUAUCUGUUCUUAUCAGUGGUAAAAGAGGGCUAUCUGUUCUUGUUAGAACAGUCCUGGCGGUCCAUUAAGGACAAGAGCUGCAGAUUGCGGUGUAAAAUCGUAGCAAUGGCAGCU